ACUACGGGAGGCAGCAGUGAGGAAUAUUGGUCAAUGGCCGGGAGGCUGAACCAGCCAAGUCGCGUGAGGGAAGCCGGCCCUACGGGUUGUAAACCUCUUUUGUCAGGGAGCAAGGUGCAGGUCGGGACCUGCUGUGAGAGUACCUGAAGAAAAAGCAUCGGCUAACCCCGUGCCAGCAGCCGCGGUAAUACGGAGGAUGCGAGCGUUAUCCGGUUUUAGUGGGUUUCAAGGGUGCGCAGGCGGAGGCACAAGUCAGCGGUAAAAUCGCGGGGUUCAACCCCGCUCCGCCGGUGAAACUGUGUCCCUUGAGUGCGCGAAGGGUAGGCGGAAGGCGUGGUGUAGCGGUGAAAUGCAUAGAUAUCACGAAGAACUCCGAUUGCGAAGGCAGCCUGCUGGACUGUAACUGACGCUGAUGCUCGAAAGUGUGGGUAUCAAACAGGAUUAGAUACCCCUGUAGUC
RNAcentral lists this ribosomal RNA (459 nucleotides) under uncultured bacterium. RNAcentral's name for it is "partial 16S ribosomal RNA". It matches the Rfam family "Bacterial small subunit ribosomal RNA", at positions 338 to 795 of the family's 1533-position model. The record is from RNAcentral.